ACCUGACUAUCGCAUCCCGCGGUAGACACUAGCCACGACAGGAGAACACUACAUG
Molecule: non-coding RNA, 55 nt
Submitted as: unclassified sequences
Source: Rfam